RNAcentral lists this ribosomal RNA (421 nucleotides) under Escherichia coli. Its description in RNAcentral is "partial 23S ribosomal RNA". It matches the Rfam family "Bacterial large subunit ribosomal RNA", at positions 1 to 452 of the family's 2925-position model. The record is from RNAcentral. Lineage: Bacteria; Pseudomonadati; Pseudomonadota; Gammaproteobacteria; Enterobacterales; Enterobacteriaceae.
GGGUUGUGAGGUUAAGCGACUAAGCGUACACGGUGGAUGCCCUGGCAGUCAGAGGCGAUGAAGGACGUGCUAAUCUGCGAUAAGCGUCGGUAAGGUGAUAUGAACCGUUAUAACCGGCGAUUUCCGAAUGGGGAAACCCAGUGUGUUUCGACACACUAUCAUUAACUGAAUCCAUAGGUUAAUGAGGCGAACCGGGGGAACUGAAACAUCUAAGUACCCCGAGGAAAAGAAAUCAACCGAGAUUCCCCCAGUAGCGGCGAGCGAACGGGGAGCAGCCCAGAGCCUGAAUCAGUGUGUGUGUUAGUGGAAGCGUCUGGAAAGGCGCGCGAUACAGGGUGACAGCCCCGUACACAAAAAUGCACAUGCUGUGAGCUCGAUGAGUAGGGCGGGACACGUGGUAUCCUGUCUGAAUAUGGGGGGA